GACAGAGGGGGCGAGCGUUGUCCGGAGUCACUGGGCGUAAAGCGUGCGUAGGUGGUGCGAUGCGUCGGCGCUGAAAGCGCCCGGCUUAACCGGGCGACGGGCGACGAUACGAUCGCACUGGAGGCAGGGAGACGUUGGUGGAAUUCCGGGUGUAGUGGUGAAAUGCGUAGAGAUCCGGAGGAAUGCCGGUGGCGUAAGCGGCCAACGAGUCCUGACCUGACACUGAGGCACGAAAGCGUGGGAGCUAACCGG
This 252-nucleotide ribosomal RNA is filed under the name uncultured bacterium. Its description in RNAcentral is "partial 16S ribosomal RNA". It matches the Rfam family "Bacterial small subunit ribosomal RNA", at positions 524 to 776 of the family's 1533-position model. The record is from RNAcentral.